RNAcentral lists this ribosomal RNA (526 nucleotides) under uncultured bacterium. Its description in RNAcentral is "bacterial SSU rRNA". It matches the Rfam family "Bacterial small subunit ribosomal RNA", at positions 379 to 896 of the family's 1533-position model. The record is from RNAcentral.
AAGCCUGAUCCAGCCAUGCCGCGUGAGUGAAGAAGGCCUUCGGGUUGUAAAGCUCUUUCGGUCGGGAAGAAAUAGUUGCGGCUAAUAUCUGCAACAAAUGACGGUACCGACAUAAGAAGCACCGGCUAACUACGUGCCAGCAGCCGCGGUAAUACGUAGGGUGCAAGCGUUAAUCGGAAUUAUUGGGCGUAAAGGGUGCGCAGGUCGUUAUAUAAGUCAGAUGUGAAAUCCCUGGGCUUAACCUAGGAAUUGCGUUUGAAACUAUAUAACUAGAGUGUGACAGAGGGGAGUGGAAUUCCAUGUGUAGCAGUGAAAUGCGUAGAGAUGUGGAAGAACACCGAUGGCGAAGGCAGCUCCCUGGGUUAACACUGACGCUCAUGCACGAAAGCGUGGGGAGCAAACAGGAUUAGAUACCCUGGUAGUCCACGCCCUAAACGAUGUCAACUAGUUGUCGGAUCUAUAUAAAGAUUAGGUAACGUAGCUAACGCGUGAAGUUGACCGCCUGGGAAGUACGGUCGCAAGAUUA